GAGGCGUGGGAAACCGGCAGGAAUAUGGAUUUUACUGUCAUCACGUCUUGCAACCUGCUAAGCUCACUGAAGUUUUUUAUAAGUCCUCGAAAAGACAGUGGCACCUGGUUUUCCUUCCCCAUGUGGAACCCUCUACAGCUUCCAGCAAGUUCCAUCACCCAGAGGACGCCAUGCAAGGAAGUGGCAAUGCCGGAACUUGAAGACCUGCUCCAGUGACAGGCCCUACUCUCACCUGCCCUGCCCUGAAAAACAGCCUCAGUGGCCUAGGGAAGUCCCCAGGUCAGGGGUCACAUCUAAGCUGCAACUGCAGCCUACGCCACAGCAACCCUGGAUCCAAACCACUUCUGUGACCUACACCGCAGCUUAUGGCAAUGCAGGAUCCUUAACCCGCUGACUGAGGCCAGGGAUGGAACCGGUGACGUCACAGAGACAACACUAGGUCCUUGACCAGCUGAGCCACAGUGGGAACCCCCAGUCUGGUUUUUGAAGCAGAGGUCAUCAAACUUUUUUGCUCCUGUAUCCCCGAAUAAAUUUUGAAAAACUCGCCCUUCCGCAUUCCAAGCAGACGUCUAAGUUUUGCAUCGUCAAUGUAGAGAGUCGUAAAGGAGGUCGUGUCUGGCACAUCAUCGUUUUAAUCCAACUUUUCAUAACACUUUUAAAUGUAUACAAUGGCCACGAAGUCCUAAGGCAAUUUGAUAUUCUCAUCACCCAAUUAAAAUAUGCGUUAAUCAGUAUCCUUCUAGGGAGUUCCCACUGUGGCUCAUUGGUUUACGAACCCAGCUUGUGUCCAUGAGGAUGCAAGUUGAUCCCCGGCCUUGUUCAGUGGGUUAAGGAUCCAGCGUUGCCAUGAGCAGUGGUGUAGGUCGCAGACACGGCUCAGAUCUGGCAUUGCUGUGGUUGUGUCACAGGCUGGCAGCUGCAGGUCUGGUUUGACCCCUGGCCUGGGAACCUCCAUAUGCCACAGGUGUGGCCCUAAAAAGCAAGCAAAUAAAGAAAUAAUCCUUCUUUACAAGAAAUUUUAAAAUGCUUUUUUCUUCUUGAACCUACAUUUCAAUUUCACUUUUUCCUUGCAAAGAAGACAUAAUGUAAUAUCUUUUUUUUUUUUUUUCCGGUCCUUUUAGGGCCACACCCACGGCAUGUGGAGGUUCCCGGGCCAGGGGUCAAGUCAGAGCCAUAGCUGCGGUCUACAUCACAGUCACAGCAAUGCAGGAUCCAAGCCGCAUCUGCAACCUACACCACAGCUCACAGCAACACCAGAUCCUUAAUCUACUGAGCAAGGCCAGGGAUCGAACCUUUGUCCUCAUGGAUACUAGUCAGGUUUGUUACUGCUGAGCCAUGAUGGGAGCUCCUUUUGAAAGUAUUUUAUUAAGCACCCUAUCAUUUCUCUCUGUCAAAUGGCUGUGGCUGUGCAUUUAAAUGUAAUAAAAAUAUCCUC
This 1435-nucleotide long non-coding RNA is filed under the name Sus scrofa (pig). RNAcentral's name for it is "lncRNA (ENSSSCG00045018560.1)". The record is from RNAcentral. Lineage: Eukaryota; Metazoa; Chordata; Mammalia; Artiodactyla; Suidae.